UCCGCAGAGCAGAGACGCCGAGCGCCAGGAUGGCAGGAAGCCGCCUCGCGUCCAGGGGCGGGUGAGCGGAUGCGGCAGAUGUGCGGCCUGCGGGCGGCACAGUGUCGUUCCGCCUGGAAAACUCAGGAAGUCCUGCCGCACGCCGUGGCACCAAGGACGAGGUUUUUCACUGGGAAAUUUACCCCACGGUUUACUGGUCCCACAUAUGCCCCAGGGCACAGUGGCCUGAGUGCCCCCAGACCCCCUCUAUUCUGAGCCUCCGAGCCCGGAGUCCGUGUCCCCAUCGGACACACGGACGCCAAGGUCAGCGUUGGGGGAAUUUCCCCCAGAGGAAAGCCCAGCCACGGAUACAGACAGCACAGACGCAGGGCCUGGGACACGAGACACAGCAACUUCAGGGUCAUGCUGUCUGGGAUAACAGAUGUCAGCUUCUAGAAAGUUCUCCCAUAAAUUUAACAUGGGGCGUGUGCGUCUAGAGAAAACACAUUGUUUACUGACAUCACUCAGCUGCACGUGAAUACAGAGUUCUCUUUACUUUCAUGAGAUGGAGCGUGAGUGUAGAUGUCUCACUCACCCCGGCCUGCCCACGCACAUGUGUCUGCUUACCCUCAUAGACAUUCCAAUUUCUGAACUCUUCUAAGUGACAAUUAAAUGACCCCAACGAUUGAUUCACCACUUAAA
This is a long non-coding RNA of Suricata suricatta (meerkat), 681 nucleotides long. RefSeq lists it as uncharacterized. The transcript has 3 exons. The record is from RefSeq and is a predicted model, not a curated record. Lineage: Eukaryota; Metazoa; Chordata; Mammalia; Carnivora; Herpestidae.